GUUUUGAUUGGUAUUGAUCGAUUUUGACAGGUAAUUUUUAGAUAAUAAUUUACUAACGAGCCUUCAAAAAGCGUUCGGAAUUCGGUGUUGACAGGGUUCAGUUUUUUCAGGUUUGAUUAACGUUAAUUGAUAGGGAAAUUUUGUGGGACUUUGAAAAUUGUUCGGUUUAAACUAAAAUUCGGUUUUAUCAGGGUUCGGUUUACCCAGGUUUCACUGUAUA
This 220-nucleotide long non-coding RNA is filed under the name Mytilus galloprovincialis (Mediterranean mussel). The record is from RNAcentral. Lineage: Eukaryota; Metazoa; Mollusca; Bivalvia; Mytilida; Mytilidae.